CAAUAAUGGGCACCUGACCUGGGUGGGAAGGAAGGAGAAGAGAACAUGGCUCUGAUACAGAAACCUGGUGCACAAAAAGAAAGGGUUCCUGUUUGUUACCUGUUCUGAUGGCCUCACCAUCAGUGGGGAGCACCAUCUUCUAGAAGGGGAACAUUGGAAAUAACCAUACAUCACACACCUGAAGCCAUCAGGCCUCAGAAUGUAACAGUAUUAAACCAUCUCAAGGUGGGUUAGUACUCA
Long non-coding RNA from Lutra lutra (Eurasian river otter), 240 nucleotides. RefSeq lists it as uncharacterized. The record is from RefSeq and is a predicted model, not a curated record. Lineage: Eukaryota; Metazoa; Chordata; Mammalia; Carnivora; Mustelidae. The transcript is spliced from 3 exons.